RNAcentral lists this unclassified non-coding RNA (380 nucleotides) under uncultured bacterium. RNAcentral's name for it is "contains 16S-23S intergenic spacer region". The record is from RNAcentral.
UCCGGCUUAUCACCGGCAGUCCCACUAGAGUGCCCAACUUAAUGAUGGCAACUAAUGGCAGGGGUUGCGCUCGUUGCGGGACUUAACCCAACAUCUCACGACACGAGCUGACGACAACCAUGCACCACCUGUCACUCUGUCCCCCGAAGGGGAACGUCCUAUCUCUAGGAUUGUCAGAGGAUGUCAAGACCUGGUAAGGUUCUUCGCGUUGCUUCGAAUUAAGCAACAUGCUCCGCCGCUUGUGCGGGGCCCCGUCAAUUCCUUUGAGUUUUAGCCUUGCGGUCGUACUCCCCAGGCGGGGUGCUUAAUGCGUUAGCUUCGGCACGGACGGGGUCGAUGUCCGCCCACACCUAGCACCCAACGUUUACGGCUAGGACUAC